RNAcentral lists this ribosomal RNA (497 nucleotides) under uncultured bacterium. RNAcentral describes it as "partial 16S ribosomal RNA". It matches the Rfam family "Bacterial small subunit ribosomal RNA", at positions 28 to 507 of the family's 1533-position model. The record is from RNAcentral.
GAUGAACGCUGGCGGCGUGCCUAAUACAUGCAAGUCGAGCGAACGGACGAGAAGCUUGCUUCUCUGAUGUUAGCGGCGGACGGGUGAGUAACACGUGGAUAACCUACCUAUAAGACUGGGAUAACUUCGGGAAACCGGAGCUAAUACCGGAUAAUAUUUUGAACCGCAUGGUUCAAAAGUGAAAGACGGUCUUGCUGUCACUUAUAGAUGGAUCCGCGCUGCAUUAGCUAGUUGGUAAGGUAACGGCUUACCAAGGCAACGAUGCAUAGCCGACCUGAGAGGGUGAUCGGCCAAACUGGAACUGAGACACGGUCCCGACUCCUACGGGAGGCAGCAGUAGGGAAUCUUCCGCAAUGGGCGAAAGCCUGACGGAGCAACGCCGCGUGAGUGAUGAAGGUCUUCGGAUCGUAAAACUCUGUUAUUAGGGAAGAACAUAUGUGUAAGUAACUGUGCACAUCUUGACGGUACCUAAUCAGAAAGCCACGGCUAACUACGUG